AAAGAUACGAACUCGGGUUUGAUGGUCGGAGGUCGAGUACAAAGUAUCCUUUUUGAACAGGGACGAAUUUGUUUUGACUAUUGCUCACUCCAUUUUCACUAUCUGUUUGUAUAACCUAUGUUCUUGGUCUCAUAUUCCUAGCUACAACUACACCAAGGGCUUUAACUACACCUACUGAUACACCUACAAUGUCCACCGAUACAACAACAAUGGCGUCUAAAACAUCUUGGUCUGCAUCGAGCGGUGAGUAAGAAUUGAUUGGUUAAAAGUAUCAUUUUAGAAAAUGGUCGGUCUUUCACAUAACAAGUAAGAACUAAUUUGUAAUUAGGUGGGAUAUUGGUAGCUAAGGAGAAGUGAAGUCUUCAAGGMAAAUUUUGAAAAUUAAUUCAAAAUGUGUUAAUGCUGAUGAACCUUAUGGGAGAAGAGGGGAUGCCAAAGGUAUCUAAUACCUCAAAUAAAAUAUAAAGAGUUGAUAAAAUGAAGGGUAAAUGUUACUUAACUAUAGGUGAAACUCACCCAAAACAGCUGGCAACCUUUACCCUUUCAAUUUAACUUCAAGCAAGGCGUAAACAAUCACCUGUAAUACGCUUCAGCCAAAAUAUGGGAUAAAGAUUUUUAACCUAAUAUUUUGAGUUAAAUUCAAAUAUCAGUUGGGGGUAAAGCGAUUUUUACCCCAAACAACUCUGGGUGUGUGAUGAYAAUAGUUACCGAUAGAAAGUURAAACACYMUGAAGACAGGCGAGAAUAGCAGUGACAGUGUACUGAAGUAAAGGAAGGUAAUACAUUUGUAUCAUAAGGUAAUUGUUGAUAAUGCCACAAUCCGUCGGAUCCGUAAAACAUUUAUUCAUAUCCGAAUCCGCAAAAAAAUUGAUAGUUUAAUGGUAUGUGAAUUGCUGAAUUGUGUUUUAUAAAUUUGUGGCGUUUCUUUGAUCCGCACUCUAUAGUGAGUAAAAAUCGAAAUCCGGACAAGAGAAAUGGGUAAAUCCGAAAUCCGCCGCAUUUGCAGGAAGCGCCAAUCCGUUAAAAUUUUAUUCUGAAUUCGAAAUCGGGACUAAAUCAUUUGCGAAACCCGCCAAUCCGUGAACCAAUUCACUCUCCCUUCCUCCCUGUAAUUCCCCCUUGUAGUGACACAGCUUUCAUAGGAAGCCCACAUCAAUCAUUUUAAUGUUAUUAUUGUAGUCAUUUUUUCUGAAAAGAAACUAGAUGAGACAGAAGAAAACAUAUGAAUAUCUGCAUCAGACAAGCAGGACAAGCAAGUGAGCUACAUACCCAUUUUUCUCCACACUGAACCACCACACUCAUCCAGGCCAAACCACUGAUAGAGGACCAUGUGUACCAGGCCUCCUGAGCAGAAGAACUCGACUUCACGCAGUGUAGAAACAUGGACCAAGCUACUUCAAGAUCUCUUGUAAAUGCACUCUAACAACUAAAGAAAGGACAUCGUUAAAUUAUUUACGUACUCUUUAAGAACA
Molecule: long non-coding RNA, 1472 nt
Organism: Actinia tenebrosa (Australian red waratah sea anemone)
Lineage: Eukaryota; Metazoa; Cnidaria; Anthozoa; Actiniaria; Actiniidae
Source: RefSeq, a predicted model, not a curated record